AUUGAACGCUGGCGGCAGGCCUAACACAUGCAAGUCGAGCGGGGUUUUCGGACCUAGCGGCGGACGGGUGAGUGAUGCUUAGGAAUCUGCCUAUUAGUGGGUGACAACAUUUCGAAAGGAAUGCUAAUACCGCAUACGUCCUACGGGAGAAAGCAGGGGAUCUUCGGACCUUGCGCUAAUAGAUGAGCCUAAGUCGGAUUAGCUAGUUGGUGGGGUAAAGGCCUACCAAGGCGACGAUCUGUAGCGGGUCUGAGAGGAUGAUCCGCCACACUGGGACUGAGGCCCGGCCCAGACUCCUACGGGAGGCAGCAGUGGGGAAUAUUGGACAAUGAGCGCAAGCCGGAUCCAGCCAUGCCGCGUGUGUGAAGAAGGCCUUAUGGUUGUAAAGCACUUUAAGCGAGGAGGAGGCUACUUUAGUUAAUACCUAGAGAUAGUGGACGUUACUCGCAGAAUAAGCACCGGCUAACUCUGUGCCAGCCGCCGCCGUAA
Molecule: ribosomal RNA, 489 nt
Filed under: uncultured bacterium
Lineage: Bacteria
Description: partial 16S ribosomal RNA
Rfam family: Bacterial small subunit ribosomal RNA
Source: RNAcentral